UACUCCUACGGGAGGCAGCAGUCGGGAAUUUUGCGCAAUGGAGGAAACUCUGACGCAGUGACGCCGCGUGCAGGAAGAAGGUUUUCGGAUUGUAAACUGCUUUAGACAGGGAAGAAAAAGGACAGUACCUGUAGAAUAAGCUCCGGCUAACUACGUGCCAGCAGCCGCGGUAU
Molecule: ribosomal RNA, 173 nt
Filed under: uncultured bacterium
Lineage: Bacteria
Description: partial 16S ribosomal RNA
Rfam family: Bacterial small subunit ribosomal RNA
Source: RNAcentral